This 254-nucleotide ribosomal RNA is filed under the name uncultured bacterium. RNAcentral's name for it is "partial 16S ribosomal RNA". It matches the Rfam family "Bacterial small subunit ribosomal RNA", at positions 524 to 776 of the family's 1533-position model. The record is from RNAcentral.
UACGUAGGGGGGCAAGCGUUGUCCGGAAUCAUUGGGCGUAAAGAGCGCGUAGGCGGCCCUGUAAGUCCGCUGUGAAAGUCAAGGGCUCAACCCUUGGAUGCCGGUGGAUACUGCAGGGCUAGAGUCCGGAAGAGGCGAGUGGAAUUCCUGGUGUAGCGGUGAAAUGCGCAGAUAUCAGGAGGAACACCGAUGGCGAAGGCAGCUCGCUGGGACGGUACUGACGCUGAGGCGCGAAAGCGUGGGGAGCAAACAGG